UACAGAGGGGGCAAGCGUUGUUCGGAAUUACUGGGCGUAAAGGGCGCGUAGGCGGCCUGCUAAGUCGAACGUGAAAUCCCUGGGCUCAACCCAGGAACUGCGUCCGAUACUGGUUGGCUUGAAUCCGGGAGAGGGAUGUGGAAUUCCAGGUGUAGCGGUGAAAUGCGUAGAUAUCUGGAGGAACACCGGUGGCGAAGGCGACAUCCUGGACCGGUAUUGACGCUGAGGCACGAAAGCGUGGGGAGCAAACAGG
Molecule: ribosomal RNA, 253 nt
Filed under: uncultured bacterium
Lineage: Bacteria
Description: partial 16S ribosomal RNA
Rfam family: Bacterial small subunit ribosomal RNA
Source: RNAcentral